AAACGAGAAUCACAACCACCGACUAUGGGUUGCAGAUGGCGAUGGCAGGCAGCAACAACAAUGGUAGACAGCGACGGCAGUCGGUGUCAGUGACGACAGACCAGCACGACGAUUGAAGUUGUUCCACGAUUUAUCUUUGGGUCUUCAUCAAUUUGAGUCUGCUUCUGCCUCUCUCUCAAGUUUGUUUGUGGAUGAUGAUUUUGGUGUGGGCUGUGGAUUUCUGCCAUGAUUUAGGGCCCUUCUAAGGAUGGUCUUUACCCACUUUCCCUCUCCUCUCAUUCAUCCACCAUCCCCUGUGCCCUUACCACUGUGCACUCUCCUGCUUGGCAUCAUCGCCUUGGCCACCCAUCCUAUCCUAUGCUCUCUCACUUAACAUCAUCUUUAGGCUUUAAAGUUUCUCAUGCUUUCUGUAAGGAUUAUGCACUUCGCAAAUUCACCAAACUAUCAUUUACUAGUAAUAAAACUUUUGCCCCCUCUCCAUUUUUUUAA
Prunus persica (peach) is the source of this 489-nucleotide long non-coding RNA. RefSeq lists it as uncharacterized. The transcript has 2 exons. The record is from RefSeq and is a predicted model, not a curated record. Lineage: Eukaryota; Viridiplantae; Streptophyta; Magnoliopsida; Rosales; Rosaceae.